This 1590-nucleotide ribosomal RNA is filed under the name Carnilistrophorus rhynchocyoni. Its description in RNAcentral is "SSU rRNA". It matches the Rfam family "Eukaryotic small subunit ribosomal RNA". The record is from RNAcentral. Lineage: Eukaryota; Metazoa; Arthropoda; Arachnida; Sarcoptiformes; Listrophoridae.
CCGCGAAUGGCUCAUUAAAUCAGUUAUGAUUCAUUGGAUGUUGACCAAUUACAUGGAUAACUGUGGUAAUUCUAGAGCUAAUACAUGCCGAAAAGCUUUGUCGUAAGGCAAGGUGCAUUUAUUAGACGAAGACCAAAGGUGGAAACACCUAACGGUGGUGACUCUGGAUAACUGCAGCUGACCGCAUGGCCUARUGCCGGCGGCAUAUCCUUCGAGUGUCUGCCUUAUCAACUUUCGAUGGUAGGUUAUAUGCCUACCAUGGUUGUAACGGGUAACGGAGAAUCAGGGUUCGAUUCCGGAGAGGCAGCCUGAGAGACGGCUACCACAUCCAAGGAAGGCAGCAGGCGCGCAAAUUACCCAAUAUCAGAACGAUGAGGUAGUGACGAAAAAUAACAAUACGGGCUYCGCUUACGCGUUCUCGUAAUUGGAAYGAGUACAGUUUAAAUCCUUUAACGAGGAUCAAUUGGAGGGCAAGUCUGGUGCCAGCAGCCGCGGUAAUUCCAGCUCCAAUAGCGUAUAUUAAAGUURUUGUGGUUAAAAAGCUCGUAGUUGGAUCUCAGCUUAUGCAUAGUGGUCCACUUGACGGUGGUUACUGUUAUGCUGAGCAUUAUACUAUAUUGUUCUGUGGUGUUCUUAAUUGAGUGUCACAGGCGAUUAGUACGUUUACUUUGAAAAAAUUAGAGUGCUCAAAGCAGGCAUUAUGGCCUGAAUACUGUUGCAYRGAAUAAUGGAAUAGGACCUUGGUUCUGUUCUGUUGGUCUUUGGAAUCGAGGUAAUGAUUAACAGGGACUGACGGGGACAUUAGUACUGCGGCGAUAGAGGUGAAAUUCUUGGACCGCCGCAUGACUAACUAAAGCGAAAGCAUUUGUCAAGCAGCUAGAGUUUUAUAAUGACUCGGCUGGCGACUUCCGGGAAACCAAAGUGUUUCGGUUCCAGGGGAAGUAUGGUUGCAAAGCUGAAACUUAAAGGAAUUGACGGAAGGGCACCACCAGGAGUGGAGCCUGCGGCUUAAUUUGACUCAACACGGGAAAACUCACCCGGUCCGGACACUGGAAUGAUUGACAGAUUAAGAGCUCUUUCUUGAUUCAGUGGGUGGUGGUGCAUGGCCGUUCUUAGUUGGUGGAGCGAUUUGUCUGGUUAAUUCCGAUAACGAACGAGACUCUAGCCUACUAAAUAGCACAUGGCAUCGUAAGCUGUCGUGGCGCUUCUUAGAGGGACAAACGGCGUUCCAGCCGUAUGAAAAAGAGCAAUAACAGGUCUGUGAUGCCCUUAGAUGUCCGGGGCCGCACGCGCGCUACACUGAAAAGAUCAGCGUGCAUCGAAAUCCUACUCUGAAAAGAGCGGGAAACCGAGUGAAACUUUUUCGUGAUUGGGAUUGGGGAUUGUAACUAUUGUCCAUGAACGAGGAAUUCCCAGUAAGCACAAGUCAUCAGCUUGUGUUGAUUACGUCCCUGCCCUUUGUACACACCGCCCGUCGCUACUACCGAUUGGAUGUUUUAGUGAGGUCUUUGGACUUGCCAUCGUGACUAUUCUCGUGGUAGCUACGUUGUGCGGGAAAGAUGACCAAACUUGAAUAUCUAGAGGAAGUAA